Long non-coding RNA from Eriocheir sinensis (Chinese mitten crab), 1411 nucleotides. RefSeq lists it as uncharacterized. The record is from RefSeq and is a predicted model, not a curated record. NCBI's taxonomy places the organism in Eukaryota, Metazoa, Arthropoda, Malacostraca, Decapoda, Varunidae. The transcript is spliced from 2 exons.
CUGGUGUCGUCCUGUGAGAGCUUCACAGGCGCGUCAGCUGCCCCGUCUUCCUGAGGAUGGCGCAGGUGAGGCGGAUGACAGAUUCUUGGCGUGAGGAAUGGACGCCUAGGUCGCCGCCAGCAGCGUGGGCAGGUCAAAGAGUUGUGGAUAGGAGCGUUGUCCAUGGCAAUAUAAAUGGGCUGCUCUGGUGGGAUGAGCAUGGCCCGGGCUGUUGGGACCAUUACAUCCACCAGUAUUUCAUCAUACUGGCGGGCUGUAAGACGUUCUUCUAUAACUGUCAGCUCUCCUGGACCACUGGUUGCCAUCCAUCCCCAAAGCCCUGCGGUGAUUCUCCCACUCCGCCGAGAAGGCUGAGUGUUCUGGGACUCGUACCUAAAGAUAGGAUUUAUUGUUAUUCUAUGCAUAUUCAAUGAAAUUUACAAGUACUAUGUAAUAGGCUACCACAAGUAGUUUGAUACUCGUGUAAAGUAAUGGGAUUAGUAAAUAAAAAUGAAGACAUGGCAACUAAACCUGUAACUUAGCAACACACCAGUGCAGGGUGUGUGUAGCCAAGUAGUAGGAUGAUAGAUAGGUUAGUCAUUCAAGCAGUGUUGUGCGCACUACUUGCUAAAAGUAGUGUCACUACCGCUACAGCUACUCAUUUCAAAAUGUAUAGUGCACUACCGCUACUACUGCCGCUACCGCUACUUGUGAACAAUAAGUACUGAAAAAAACAUAAUUCUCUUCUAUACAUAUUGUUACGUUCCACGUCCUUGAUAGAGUACUGAGUAAGUCACUUUACACUUGCUGUAUAUGAGGCUAGAAGAUUCACUCACAUACCUCUGCUCUGCUAGUUGACUCAUCCAGUAUUUACCAGUUUCCAAGGCUUCUUGAGCCGUGAUCAGGAAUAUCCACGAGUGAGUAAUCACUUACUGUCCACAGGUAGGCAGCCAGCCACACCUCCAGUCGCAGAUUCACUAGAGCGAGCGUUAGGUGACUGACAUGAGUGACGGGCCGCGGCUCAGCCCACUGGACUGUACAAGUUUCAUUCGCGUUUUCAUCACGUACGUAGUUGGUCUGUAGCAGUCACCGCUCGAAUCGCGUGUUCCUUCCCCUCAGUGACACAUAAGAAAAUGGUGCACUGCAGAGAAAGACUUUAAAAUUCUGUGUUGUCAUGUUCAUCGUCAGUACUUGUCUCUGUCCGCGUCGUGUCUUCAAUGUUUAGCUUUCUUGUACUCGUUUACCUUUCACUGUCCGUCUGUGUCCUUCUGUUGUCCACCGUUACACAUUGUUAUACACAUACAUCAACACUUAAAUGUUAACCUACACAAACAACAUUCACACAAACGCAUACCCACACAAACACCUUUUCUUUGUGUUGUGUUUGUCUGAAUGACUUGUUAUAUUGUCCUCCAAUAAAGUUACCCUGGCG